Molecule: long non-coding RNA, 803 nt
Filed under: Schizosaccharomyces pombe (fission yeast)
Lineage: Eukaryota; Fungi; Ascomycota; Schizosaccharomycetes; Schizosaccharomycetales; Schizosaccharomycetaceae
Description: non-coding RNA, poly(A)-bearing
Source: RNAcentral
UAGUUGAAUUAUUUUUAAAACAAGAAAAGAAAAAAAUAUAUUUUUCCUCCCUCAUCGUUUUACAAAACGUCUCUGUUUCUUUAUAAUUAAAAAAAAAAAAAAAAAUAUUAUUAUACUCUUCGAAUUUCGAUAUUCAAACAUAAACUCUUUAUUUUAUCAUCAAUGACUUAUUGAGAUUUUUAAUAUUUAUAAAUCAACACGAUUGAUCUAAGUGUGAGGAUGAAUUUCUGCUGGCUGCGAAAGAGUGGACUUGGAGCAUUUAUGAGAAGCUGCUAAAAAUGAUGUCGUCUACCUUGAAUAAAUGGUCUCAAAUUGUUCGCAAGCGUUUGUAACACCUAGAAUGGCGCGCUGACAAGUUUGUCUGGGUACUUAAUUAGAAAAGCAUGACCUAAAAUUUUACAACUUUUUUCCACAAGUGACUACCAUAUGCCUUGCAAUUAAUUUCCUGAGCAGUUUAUUGUAUUUCUACUUUGCCAACUAGGAAGCUUAAUCUAUCAGAUCAUUGUUUGUUUCUGCGUUGUUUGCAGAUUACUUACCGCUUGUUGAAUUUACCAGUUGCUUCAGAUAUGACCUGUUCCAGGAAUUCUUUUAAUUUCAAAUAAAACCAAUCAAGAGAAUUAAAAAAUCAUUUUCUUUUGAUCCGUAUUUAAAAGAAGUCUCUGAAUUUUAUAUAUUGGGAUACACUGAGGUAGUGUUUGGAGCCAAAUGUUACAAUUUAAGCUCUUCCAAGAUAAUGCAUUUCUAAAACUUCUUGUUUUAUUUUCCUUAAUUUAUUUUUAAUACAUCACCUAUCAUCGUACUAA